This 483-nucleotide ribosomal RNA is filed under the name uncultured bacterium. Its description in RNAcentral is "partial 16S ribosomal RNA". It matches the Rfam family "Bacterial small subunit ribosomal RNA", at positions 28 to 507 of the family's 1533-position model. The record is from RNAcentral.
AUUGAACGCUGGCGGCAUGCUUUACACAUGCAAGUCGAACGGCAGCGCGGGCUUCGGCCUGGCGGCGAGUGGUGAACGGGCGAGUAAUGCAUCGGAACGUUCCCAGUAUUGGGGGAUAGCGCGGCGAAAGCCGGAUUAAUACAGCAUACGACCUGAGGGUGUAAGCGGGGGACCGAAAGGCCUCGCGCGACUGUUGCGGCCGAUGUCGGGUUAGCCAGUUGGAGGGGUAAAGGCUCACCAAGGCGACUGUCCGUAGCUGGGCUGAGAGGACGACCAGCCACGCUGGCGGUGAGACACGGCCGGAACUCUGAGGGAGGCCGGCGGUGGGGAGUUUUGCACAAUGGGGGAAACCCUAACCCAGCCAUGCCGCGUGCGGAAAGAAGCCCUCCGGGUUGUAAACCGCUUUUGUUCGGGAAGAAACCCUCUGGGCUAUGACCCCGGGGGAUGACGGUACCGGAAGAAUAAGCACCGGCUAACUACGUG